RNAcentral lists this ribosomal RNA (468 nucleotides) under uncultured bacterium. RNAcentral's name for it is "partial 16S ribosomal RNA". It matches the Rfam family "Bacterial small subunit ribosomal RNA", at positions 28 to 507 of the family's 1533-position model. The record is from RNAcentral.
GACGAACGCUGGCGGCGUGCUUAACACAUGCAAGUCGAACGGACAGGCGCUGCUUUUGUUGGGUGCUUGAUAGGCGAAGGGGUGAGUAAAACGUGAGUAACAUGUCCUUGACUUUGGGAUAACAUCAGGAGAAUCGGGCUAAUACAGGAUAGGAGCUCUUGCUGCACGGGGGGGGUUGGAAAGAUUCGGCGGUUGGGGAUGGACUAGCGGCUUAUCAGCUUGUUGGUGAGGUUGUGGCUUACCAAGGUUUUGAAGGGUAGCCGGCCUGAGAGGGUGACCGGCCACAAUGGUACUGCGGUACGGCCCAGACUCCUACGGGAGGCAGCGGUGGGGAAUAUUGCGCAAUGGGCGGAAGCCAGUUGCAGCAACGCCGCGUGCGGGAUGACGGCCUACUGGUUGUAAACCGCUUUCGCCGGUGACGAAGAGUGAGUGACGGUAAUGAGUAAAGAAGCACCGGCUAACUACGUG